GACAGAGGGUGCAAACGUUGCUCGGAAUCACUGGGCGUAAAGGGCGUGUAGGCGGGCCGGAAAGUCAGAUGUGAAAUCCCCAGGCUCAACCUGGGAACUGCAUUUGAAACUCCCUUUCUUGAGUACCGGAGAGGAAAGUGGAAUUCCUGGUGUAGAGGUGAAAUUCGUAGAUAUCAGGAGGAACACCAGUGGCGAAGGCGGCUUUCUGGACGGUAACUGACGCUGAGACGCGAAAGCGUGGGGAGCAAACAGG
This 253-nucleotide ribosomal RNA is filed under the name uncultured bacterium. Its description in RNAcentral is "partial 16S ribosomal RNA". It matches the Rfam family "Bacterial small subunit ribosomal RNA", at positions 524 to 776 of the family's 1533-position model. The record is from RNAcentral.